Molecule: long non-coding RNA, 591 nt
Filed under: Homo sapiens (human)
Lineage: Eukaryota; Metazoa; Chordata; Mammalia; Primates; Hominidae
Description: HSALNT0309585
Source: RNAcentral
AGAGAUCUUCUUAUUCUACUUCCUCAUCUUACAGAGCAGCGGGGCGUGGUCUAGGAGAGUCAAGUGAAUGUGGGAAACUGGAUGAUGAUCCCUAAAGGUCCACACCUUCGUCUCUGGCACCUAUCACGUUGCACAGGGUACAUAAAGCUGAAUCAUCUGGGGGAAGUUUGCUAAAGACACAGAAUGCAAAGCCCCAUCUCACUCUUCUUGAAUCAGAAUGGCUGACUGUGGUGCUCAGGAAUUUGCAUGUUUAAUAAGUUUUCCCCGGGUGAUUCUAAUGAAUGCAACUUGAGUACUGUUUAGUAUAUGCUGAGUAUACCUGGAGCUUUGAUGUGCUGCAGGGAUUAGAAGAGUUUUCUGAUUUUGACCUUCCCAUUUUGAAAUAAGUAGAUUCACCAUUUUUUUUUUUUUUGGGAUGGAGUCUCACUCUGUCGCCCAGGCUGGAGUGCAGCGGCGCGAUCUCUACUCACUCACUGCAACCUCUGCCUCCUGGGUUCAAGAGAUUCUUCUGCCUCAGCCUCCUGAGUAGAGAUGGAGUUUCGCCAUGCUGGCCAGGCUGGUCUCGAACUCCUGACCUCGUGAUCCACCCAC